RNAcentral lists this ribosomal RNA (1484 nucleotides) under uncultured organism. RNAcentral describes it as "16S ribosomal RNA". It matches the Rfam family "Bacterial small subunit ribosomal RNA". The record is from RNAcentral.
CGGCGUGCCUAAUACAUGCAAGUCGAACGAGUUCUGAUUAUUGAAAGGUGCUUGCAUCUUGAUUUAAUUUUGAACGAGUGGCGGACGGGUGAGUAACACGUGGGUAACCUGCCCUUAAGUGGGGGAUAACAUUUGGAAACAGAUGCUAAUACCGCAUAAAUCCAAGAACCGCAUGGUUCUUGGCUGAAAGAUGGCGUAAGCUAUCGCUUUUGGAUGGACCCGCGGCGUAUUAGCUAGUUGGUGAGGUAACGGCUCACCAAGGCAAUGAUACGUAGCCGAACUGAGAGGUUGAUCGGCCACAUUGGGACUGAGACACGGCCCAAACUCCUACGGGAGGCAGCAGUAGGGAAUCUUCCACAAUGGACGCAAGUCUGAUGGAGCAACGCCGCGUGAGUGAAGAAGGCUUUCGGGUCGUAAAACUCUGUUGUUGGAGAAGAAUGGUCGGCAGAGUAACUGUUGUCGGCGUGACGGUAUCCAACCAGAAAGCCACGGCUAACUACGUGCCAGCAGCCGCGGUAAUACGUAGGUGGCAAGCGUUAUCCGGAUUUAUUGGGCGUAAAGCGAGCGCAGGCGGUUUUUUAAGUCUGAUGUGAAAGCCCUCGGCUUAACCGAGGAAGUGCAUCGGAAACUGGGAAACUUGAGUGCAGAAGAGGACAGUGGAACUCCAUGUGUAGCGGUGAAAUGCGUAGAUAUAUGGAAGAACACCAGUGGCGAAGGCGGCUGUCUGGUCUGUAACUGACGCUGAGGCUCGAAAGCAUGGGUAGCGAACAGGAUUAGAUACCCUGGUAGUCCAUGCCGUAAACGAUGAAUGCUAGGUGUUGGAGGGUUUCCGCCCUUCAGUGCCGCAGCUAACGCAUUAAGCAUUCCGCCUGGGGAGUACGACCGCAAGGUUGAAACUCAAAGGAAUUGACGGGGGCCCGCACAAGCGGUGGAGCAUGUGGUUUAAUUCGAAGCAACGCGAAGAACCUUACCAGGUCUUGACAUCUUUUGAUCACCUGAGAGAUCAGGUUUCCCCUUCGGGGGCAAAAUGACAGGUGGUGCAUGGUUGUCGUCAGCUCGUGUCGUGAGAUGUUGGGUUAAGUCCCGCAACGAGCGCAACCCUUAUGACUAGUUGCCAGCAUUUAGUUGGGCACUCUAGUAAGACUGCCGGUGACAAACCGGAGGAAGGUGGGGAUGACGUCAAAUCAUCAUGCCCCUUAUGACCUGGGCUACACACGUGCUACAAUGGAUGGUACAACGAGUUGCGAGACCGCGAGGUCAAGCUAAUCUCUUAAAGCCAUUCUCAGUUCGGACUGUAGGCUGCAACUCGCCUACACGAAGUCGGAAUCGCUAGUAAUCGCGGAUCAGCACGCCGCGGUGAAUACGUUCCCGGGCCUUGUACACACCGCCCGUCACACCAUGAGAGUUUGUAACACCCGAAGCCGGUGGCGUAACCCUUUUAGGGAGCGAGCCGUCUAAGGUGGGACAAAUGAUUAGGGUGAAGU